GAUGAACGCUGGCGGCGUGCCUAAUACAUGCAAGUCGAGCGAACAGACGAGGAGCUUGCUCCUCUGACGUUAGCGGCGGACGGGUGAGUAACACGUGGAUAACCUACCUAUAAGACUGGGAUAACUUCAGGAAACCGGAGCUAAUACCGGAUAAUAUAUUGAACCGCAUGGUUCAAUAGUGAAAGACGGUUUUGCUGUCACUUAUAGAUGGAUCCGCGCCGCAUUAGCUAGUUGGUAAGGUAACGGCUUACCAAGGCAACGAUGCGAAGCCGACCUGAGAGGGUGAUCGGCCACACUGGAACUGAGACACGGUCCAGACUCCUACGGGAGGCAGCAGUAGGGAAUCUUCCGCAAUGGGCGAAAGCCUGACGGAGCAACGCCGCGUGAGUGAUGAAGGUCUUCGGAUCGUAAAACUCUGUUAUUAGGGAAGAACAAAUGUGUAAGUAACUAUGCACGUCUUGACGGUACCUAAUCAGAAAGCCACGGCUAACUACGUG
RNAcentral lists this ribosomal RNA (497 nucleotides) under uncultured bacterium. RNAcentral's name for it is "partial 16S ribosomal RNA". It matches the Rfam family "Bacterial small subunit ribosomal RNA", at positions 28 to 507 of the family's 1533-position model. The record is from RNAcentral.